This is a long non-coding RNA of Cebus imitator (Panamanian white-faced capuchin), 406 nucleotides long. RefSeq lists it as uncharacterized. The record is from RefSeq and is a predicted model, not a curated record. NCBI's taxonomy places the organism in Eukaryota, Metazoa, Chordata, Mammalia, Primates, Cebidae. The transcript has 2 exons.
CUAUGGCCUGCCAGUUGAUGGGAGCAGGAUAAUCACUCUCAACACCAGAUGCAAUGCGACCACAAGUUCUAGGAGCUAAUCUUGAAACAGACAGACCAAGCCUGGAGACCCAGUUUCAAAGGUCCAGAGAUGGCUUCAAGGUGGCGAAUUAACAACCAUUGCUGAGAUGAUGUCAUUCAUUGUUGAGAUGAUGUCAGCCUAAUGUCCAGGUGGACUGGGACCCAAGAUGGCCACCAAAACAAGACAUGUGGAUUGUACUCAGCCCAAUUUUUGCAUGUCUUCCAUAUCAAGGUAUCCCUUUUUAAAAACUCUGCCUUCUCUCUCAACCACAGCUGAAGGAGUUACUUUGGAUAGGAAUCCUGCCAUUUCCCCUUCAAUAGUUUUGGUUAAUAAAGUCACUUUCUUU